GACGAACGCUGGCGGCGUGCUUAACACAUGCAAGUCGAACGGAAAGGCCCUGCGUUUGUGGGGUGCUCGAGUGGCGAACGGGGGAGUAACACGUGAGUAACCUGCCCUUGACUGUGGGAUAACUUCAGGAAACUGGGGCUAAUACCGGAUAGGAGCUCCUGCUGCAUGGUGGGGGUUGGAAAGUGUCGGCGGUUUUGGGUGGACUCGCGGCUUAUAAGCUUGUUGGGGGGGUAGUGACUUACCAGGGCUUUGACGGGUAGCCAGCCUGAGAGGGUGACAGGCCCCAUGGGGCCUGAGAUACGGCCCAGAGUGAAACGUGAGGAAAGGGCGGAGAACAGUGGAAACAGCGCGGCGGCCUGAUGGAGGAACUUCGGGUGGGAGAUCUCGGCCUUUGGGUUGGAAACUGUUUUCGAGUGUCAGGAAGCGUGAGUGCGGGUACUGGGUAAAGAAGCACCGGUUACUUCGGU
RNAcentral lists this ribosomal RNA (467 nucleotides) under uncultured bacterium. RNAcentral describes it as "partial 16S ribosomal RNA". It matches the Rfam family "Bacterial small subunit ribosomal RNA", at positions 28 to 506 of the family's 1533-position model. The record is from RNAcentral.